UACGUAGGGGCCGAGCGUUGUCCGGAGUUAUUGGGCGUAAAGCGCGCGCAGGCGGCUUCGCGCGUCCGACGUGAAAGCCCCCGGCUUAACCGGGGAGGGUCGUUGGGUACGGCGGAGCUUGAGGGCGGGAGAGGGUGGUGGAAUUCCCGGAGUAGUGGUGAAAUGCGUAGAGAUCGGGAGGAACACCUGUGGCGAAGGCGGCCACCUGGGCCGACCCUGACGCUGAGGCGCGAAGGCGUGGGGAGCGAACGGG
Molecule: ribosomal RNA, 253 nt
Filed under: uncultured bacterium
Lineage: Bacteria
Description: partial 16S ribosomal RNA
Rfam family: Bacterial small subunit ribosomal RNA
Source: RNAcentral